UAGGGAAUCUUCCGCAAUGGACGCAAGUCUGACGGAGCAACGCCGCGUGAGUGAAGAAGGAUUUCGGUUCGUAAAACUCUGUUGUUAGAGAAGAACAGCGCAUAGAGUAACUGUUAUGCGUGUGACGGUAUCUAACCAGAAAGCCACGGCUAACUACGUGCCAGCAGCCGCGGUAAUACGUAGGUCCCGAGCGUUGUCCGGAUUUAUUGGGCGUAAAGCGAGCGCAGGCGGUUAGAUAAGUCUGAAGUUAAAGGCAGUGGCUCAACCAUUGUAGGCUUUGGAAACUGUUUAACUUGAGUGCAGAAGGGGAGAGUGGAAUUCCAUGUGUAGCGGUGAAAUGCGUAGAUAUAUGGAGGAACACCGGUGGCGAAAGCGGCUCUCUGGUCUGUAACUGACGCUGAGGCUCUAAAGCGUGGGGAGCGAACAGG
RNAcentral lists this ribosomal RNA (428 nucleotides) under Bacteroidota bacterium. RNAcentral's name for it is "Bacteroidetes bacterium partial 16S ribosomal RNA". It matches the Rfam family "Bacterial small subunit ribosomal RNA", at positions 355 to 776 of the family's 1533-position model. Lineage: Bacteria; Pseudomonadati; Bacteroidota. The record is from RNAcentral.